GAUGAACGCUGGCGGCGUGCCUAAUACAUGCAAGUCGAGCGAACGGACGAGAAGCUUGCUUCUCUGAUGUUAGCGGCGGACGGGUGAGUAACACGUGGAUAACCUACCUAUAAGACUGGGAUAACUUCGGGAAACCGGAGCUAAUACCGGAUAAUAUUUUGAACCGCAUGGUUCAAAAGUGAAAGACGGUCUUGCUGUCACUUAUAGGUGGAUCCGCGCUGCAUUAGCUAGUUGGUAAGGUAACGGCUUACCAAGGCAACGAUGCAUAGCCGACCUGAGAGGGGGAUCGGCCACACUGGAACUGAGACACGGUCCAGACUCCUACGGGGGGCAGCAGUAGGGAAUCUUCCGCAAUGGGCGAAAGCCUGACGGAGCAACGCCGCGUGAGUGAUGAAGGUCUUCGGAUCGUAAAACUCUGUUAUUAGGGAAGAACAUAUGUGUAAGUAACUGUGCACAUCUUGACGGUACCUAAUCAGAAAGCCACGGCUAACUACGUG
RNAcentral lists this ribosomal RNA (497 nucleotides) under uncultured bacterium. Its description in RNAcentral is "partial 16S ribosomal RNA". It matches the Rfam family "Bacterial small subunit ribosomal RNA", at positions 28 to 507 of the family's 1533-position model. The record is from RNAcentral.